UACGGGGGGAGCAAGCGUUGUUCGGAUUUACUGGGCGUAAAGGGCGCGUAGGCGGUCGUGACAAGUCACUUGUGAAAUCUCCGGGCUUAACUCGGAACGGUCAGCUGAUACUGCUGUGCUAGAGUACAGAAAGGGCAAUCGGAAUUCUUGGUGUAGCGGUGAAAUGCGUAGAUAUCGGGAGGAACACCAGUGGCGAAGGCGGCUUCCUGGCCUGUUCUUGACGCUGAGGCGCGAAAGCUAGGGUAGCAAACGGG
RNAcentral lists this ribosomal RNA (254 nucleotides) under uncultured bacterium. Its description in RNAcentral is "partial 16S ribosomal RNA". It matches the Rfam family "Bacterial small subunit ribosomal RNA", at positions 524 to 776 of the family's 1533-position model. The record is from RNAcentral.